UUCUUAGAUAAUCAAAUUUUAGUUUGGUCAGUUCUGCCCAUUUUGAGCUCCUUUUAGAACAAGCUGUUUUAUGGCCUCUUAUCACUUUAAAUCCAAAUAAGCUGCUGCUGGCCAAGCCCCGAAACUCAACGUUUACACUCAAACAUGAAAAUGGGAUCAAACAGACGAGCAAUUAUAAAACCGUACAUCUUUGAAAAGCUUUAGUUGAGCCUCCUGCACAAACAACAAGAAUGCAGCAAGUGGCUUCUGGAUGGUAAGUCAACAAAAAAUAAAAACUCUUGUGUUUUCCAGCAGCCAUUGUACAGCGCAUACAGAGGUAAAACCGGCUGUCCAAAUAUGCUGGAGCUCCAAUUGCGUUGCUAAACGAGGCUGAGCUCGGCUGGGGUUGCUAGGUAACAGCACAGUGCCUGUCAAGCGUGACUUGAUAAUUGGGAAGGUUUUGAAACGGCUCAUUUUCCAGACACCAAAAAAACUUUAACUUAAUGCUGGAAACAACUAGGUGCUUUUUUUCACCACUUGGGUUGUUUUUAGAAGCAGCUGAGACCCAAAUGUAAAUAUAAAAACUGAGAAUUUUCUGUAAUGGUUCCCUUUAAAUGGCUGUUAUUUAUUCUACCACUAGUUUACCAGCUAUGAUGAGGUUAACUGACCAAUUAUUUUUAAUCAAACGAGAGUUCAGGCACUACAAGCUGUGUGAGGCUGAGCAGUUACAUUAGUUGUUUGCUUUUCUGACUCGUCCAUACAUGAAAGAUAAACUGUACAGACAUUUUUUCUGCCCCCAUCAUUUCAUAUCUACUGCAUCUGCCAGGGUGAAAACAGAUAAGAUAUUACAGACAGAAUGGCUCCGUAAGGUUGUUAAACCUUAAACCUUUCAUAUUAAAACGUUCUACAGCGUUUAUGUUGGACAUGCUGUGUGGAAUGAUUUAUUAAGCCCGUGCAAAAUAUCCAAGACUAUGUAGAUCUGUUUAGGUUACACAAUUCUUCAGUGUUUUAAGGGUUUCUGGUAUUGUUUCAGAGUAAACCGCUAUGUAAACGCUCUAAACUUUCCAGCUGAACUCAGUUUGGACUAAAUAAAACACUGGACCUACAUCAGCUGAUGACACGGCUCCCCACAUCAUCACAGGCUGUGGAAACUUUACCCUGAGCCUCUACGGCAAAAACACAAAAUAUUACAGAGUUUUUCUGGACCAGUUUCUACUGCAAAUAUCUUAGUACACAUGAAAUAAGACAAAACUGACAAGUAACUUUAAAGCACAAUAUAGCAGCUUGUUUUAAGUUAACAAUUCUUUAUUAUCGCUAUUUCCUCAGAGUUGGUGAACAUAAUAAAACUACAGUCAAAAAGUGCAAAACAAAGCAUCAAAUGAAGACUGAGGGAUCAGGGUAAAUUAAUAUCACAAUUAUAGAAACAAUGUAAAUGUUUAAUUGAUUUACUUAUUACUUUUUGUUAAAUUGAAAUUUCUGCAAAAAUGACAAGUCAAGCAACUAAAACAUUCAGUAAACAUAUUUAAAUUUUUGUUUCUGGCAUAAUGAAAAAAGUA
Molecule: long non-coding RNA, 1535 nt
Organism: Poecilia latipinna (sailfin molly)
Lineage: Eukaryota; Metazoa; Chordata; Actinopteri; Cyprinodontiformes; Poeciliidae
Exons: 2
Source: RefSeq, a predicted model, not a curated record